This 467-nucleotide ribosomal RNA is filed under the name uncultured bacterium. RNAcentral's name for it is "bacterial SSU rRNA". It matches the Rfam family "Bacterial small subunit ribosomal RNA", at positions 330 to 793 of the family's 1533-position model. The record is from RNAcentral.
GCCAGACUCCUACGGGAGGCAGCAGUGAGGAAUAUUGGUCAAUGGUCGGGAGACUGAACCAGCCAAGCCGCGUGAGGGAUGAAGGUACAGAGUAUCGUAAACCUCUUUUGUCAGGGAGCAACGCCGGCUACGUGUAGCCGGACUGAGAGUGCCUGAAGAAAAAGCAUCGGCUAAUUCCGUGCCAGCAGCCGCGGUAAUACGGAAGGUCCGGGCGUUAUCCGGAUUUAUUGGGUUUAAAGGGAGCGUAGGCCGGCUUUUAAGUCAGCUGUGAAAGUCCGCGGCUCAACCGUGGAAUUGCAGUUGAAACUGGAGGCCUUGAGUGCACACAGGGAUGCCGGAAUUCAUGGUGUAGCGGUGAAAUGCUUAGAUAUCAGGAAGAACUCCGAUCGCGAAGGCAAGUGUCCGGGGUGCAACUGACGCUGAGGCUCGAAAGUGCGGGUAUCAAACAGGAUUAGAUACCCCUGUAA